UGCCAGCCGCCGCGGUAAUACGUAGGGUGCAAGCGUUGUUCGGAUUUAUUGGGCGUAAAGCGCGCGCAGGCGGAUCGGUAAGUCAGAUGUGAAAUCUCGGGGCCCAACCCCGAAACUGCGUCUGAAACUGCCGAUCUAGAAUCUCGGAGAGGGAAGGGGAAUUUCGCAUGUAGGGGUAAAAUCCGUAGAGAUGCGAAGGAACAUCAGAGGCGAAGGCGGCUUUCUGGACCGAUACUGACGCUGAGACGCGAAAGCGUGGGGAGCAAACAGGAUUAGAUA
This 279-nucleotide ribosomal RNA is filed under the name uncultured bacterium. RNAcentral's name for it is "partial 16S ribosomal RNA". It matches the Rfam family "Bacterial small subunit ribosomal RNA", at positions 506 to 784 of the family's 1533-position model. The record is from RNAcentral.